AGCAGCCGCGGUAAUUCCAGCUCCAAUAGCGUAUAUUAAAGUUGUUGCAGUUAAAAAGCUCGUAGUUGAACUUCGGGGUUUACUUAUUGGUCAGGCUUAAUUGUCUGUACUGGUGAGAUGAAUCUCUACCUUCUGAGGAACUUUCAUGUCAUUUAUUUGGUGUGAUUGGAAAUCAGGACUGUUACUUUGAAAAAUUAGAGUGUUUAAAGCAGGCUAACGUCUGAAUACAUUAGCAUGGAAUAAUGAAAUAGGACGGACUGAUUCUAUUUCGUUGGUUUCUAGGAUCACCGUAAUGAUUAAUAGGGAUAGUUGGGGGCAUUAGUAUUCAAUUGUCAGAGGUGAAAUUCUUGGAUUUAUUGAAGACUAACUACUGCGAAAGCAUUUGCCAAGGAUGUUUUCAUUAAUCAAGAACGAAAGUUAGGGGAUCGAAGACGAUCAGAUACCGUCGUA
RNAcentral lists this ribosomal RNA (450 nucleotides) under uncultured Diversispora. RNAcentral describes it as "SSU rRNA". It matches the Rfam family "Eukaryotic small subunit ribosomal RNA", at positions 569 to 1022 of the family's 1831-position model. The record is from RNAcentral. Lineage: Eukaryota; Fungi; Glomeromycota; Glomeromycetes; Diversisporales; Diversisporaceae.